GACGUAGGCAGCGAGCGUUGUUCGGAAUUACUGGGCGUAAAGAGUGUGUAGGCGGUGCUCCCAGUCUGUUGUGAAAUCUCCCGGCUUAACUGGGAGGGUGCAGCGGAAACUAGAGUGCUAGAGGGUGGGAGAGGUAAGCGGAAUUCCUGGUGUAGCGGUGAAAUGCGUAGAUAUCAGGAGGAACACCUGUGGUGUAGACAGCUUACUGGACCACUUCUGACGCUGAGACACGAAAGCGUGGGUAGCAAACAGG
Molecule: ribosomal RNA, 253 nt
Filed under: uncultured bacterium
Lineage: Bacteria
Description: partial 16S ribosomal RNA
Rfam family: Bacterial small subunit ribosomal RNA
Source: RNAcentral